This 429-nucleotide ribosomal RNA is filed under the name uncultured bacterium. Its description in RNAcentral is "bacterial SSU rRNA". It matches the Rfam family "Bacterial small subunit ribosomal RNA", at positions 355 to 776 of the family's 1533-position model. The record is from RNAcentral.
UGGGGAAUAUUGGACAAUGGGCGAAAGCCUGAUCCAGCAAUGCCGCGUGUGUGAUGAAGGCCUGCGGGUUGUAAAGCACUUUCGAUGGGGAAGAAAUGUUCAAAACUAAUAAUUUUGAAAGUUGACGUUACCCAUAUAAGAAGCACCGGCAAACUCUGUGCCAGCAGCCGCGGUAAUACAGAGGGUGCAAGCGUUAAUCGGAGUUACUGGGCGUAAAGGGCGCGUAGGCGGACUAUUUAGUCGGGUGUGAAAUCCCUGGGCUUAACCUAGGAAUUGCAUUCGAUACUGGUAGUCUAGAGUAUGAUAGAGGAAAGCGGAAUUCUCGGUGUAGUGGUAAUAUACGUAGAUAUCGAGAAGAACACCGGUGGCGAAGGCGGCUUUCUGGAUCAAUACUGACGCUGAGGCGCGAAAGCGUGGGGAGCAAACAGG